AGAGUUUGAUCCUGGCUCAGGAUGAACGCUGGCGGCGUGCUUAACACAUGCAAGUCGAACGAACCUUCGGGUUAGUGGCGGACGGGUGAGUAACGCGUGGGAAUCUGCCCUCAGGAGGGGGAUAACGGUUGGAAACGACCGCUAAUACCCCAUAUGCCGAGAGGUGAAAUGAAUUUCGCCUGAGGAUGAGCCCGCGUCUGAUUAGCUUGUUGGUGGGGUAAUGGCUCACCAAGGCAUCGAUCAGUAGCUGGUCUGAGAGGAUGAUCAGCCACACUGGGACUGAGACACGGCCCAGACUCCUACGGGAGGCAGCAGUGGGGAAUUUUCCGCAAUGGGCGAAAGCCUGACGGAGCAACGCCGCGUGAGGGACGAAGGCCUCUGGGCUGUAAACCUCUUUUCUCAAGGAAGAAGAUAUGACGGUACUUGAGGAAUAAGCCACGGCUAAUUCCGUGCCAGCAGCCGCGGUAAUACGGGAGUGGCAAGCGUUAUCCGGAAUUAUUGGGCGUAAAGCGUCCGCAGGCGGCCUUUCAAGUCUGCUGUUAAAACGUGGAGCUUAACUCCAUCAUGGCAGUGGAAACUGAUCGGCUUGAGUAUGGUAGGGGCAGAGGGAAUUCCCGGUGUAGCGGUGAAAUGCGUAGAUAUCGGGAAGAACACCAGUGGCGAAGGCGCUCUGCUGGGCCAUUACUGACGCUCAUGGACGAAAGCCAGGGGAGCGAAAGGGAUUAGAUACCCCUGUAGUCCUGGCCGUAAACGAUGAACACUAGGUGUCGGGGGAAUCGACCCCUUCGGUGUCGUAGCUAACGCGUUAAGUGUUCCGCCUGGGGAGUACGCACGCAAGUGUGAAACUCAAAGGAAUUGACGGGGGCCCGCACAAGCGGUGGAGUAUGUGGUUUAAUUCGAUGCAACGCGAAGAACCUUACCAGGGCUUGACAUCCUGCGAACCUUUAAGAAAUUAGAGGGUGCCUUCGGGAACGCAGUGACAGGUGGUGCAUGGCUGUCGUCAGCUCGUGUCGUGAGAUGUUGGGUUAAGUCCCGCAACGAGCGCAACCCACGUUUUUAGUUGCCAGCAUUUAGUUGGGCACUCUAGAAAGACCGCCGGUGAUAAACCGGAGGAAGGUGUGGAUGACGUCAAGUCAUCAUGCCCCUUACGUCCUGGGCUACACACGUACUACAAUGCUACGGACAAAGGGCAGCAAACUCGCGAGAGCUAGCAAAUCCCAUAAACCGUGGCUCAGUUCAGAUCGUAGGCUGCAACUCGCCUACGUGAAGUAGGAAUCGCUAGUAAUCGCAGGUCAGCAUACUGCGGUGAAUACGUUCCCGGGCCUUGUACACACCGCCCGUCACACCAUGGAAGUUGGCCACGCCCGAAGUCGUUACUUUAACCCUUGUGGAGAAGGACGCCGAAGGUGGGGCUGAUGACUGGGGUGAAGUCGUAACAAGGUAGCCGUACCGGAAGGUGCGGCUG
Molecule: ribosomal RNA, 1465 nt
Filed under: Prochlorococcus sp. AG-402-I22
Lineage: Bacteria; Bacillati; Cyanobacteriota; Cyanophyceae; Synechococcales; Prochlorococcaceae
Description: bacterial SSU rRNA
Rfam family: Bacterial small subunit ribosomal RNA
Source: RNAcentral